RNAcentral lists this long non-coding RNA (2814 nucleotides) under Mus musculus (house mouse). RNAcentral describes it as "long non-coding RNA chr3:68546687-68549501". Lineage: Eukaryota; Metazoa; Chordata; Mammalia; Rodentia; Muridae. The record is from RNAcentral.
GUAUGGGGGAAUUUUGGGAUAGCAUUUGAAAUGUAAAUGAAGAAAAUACCUAAUAAAAAUAUAUAUGGAAAAAAAAGAAUUGUUUUUCUACCCUGAGCCUGAGCUGCUCGUCCAUUCUUUCUUGCUAAUGGAACCUUAGCUGACUGGGAGCAGCAGUAUAGCACUGUAUUUCCUACAGUCUUUCUGGGGCUAGAGCAGCGGCUCUCUACCUUCCCAGUGCUGUGACCCUUUAAUGCAGUUCCUUCAUAACUGUAAUUCUGCUACUGUAAUGAACUGUAAUAUAAACAUCUGAUAUGCAGGAUAUCUGAUCUAUUACCCCAAAGGGAUCAAGACCCAAGGGUCGAUUAUCUCUGGGCAGAACCCUGGUGUAGUGAUUAAGAGCACUGAUUUUGCAGAGGACCCAAGUUUGGUUUAUAGCACCCACAUUGGGUGACUCACAACUGUCUCUAACUCCAGCUUCAGGGGGUCUGAUGCCCUCUUCUGGCUUCUUUGAGUAUAUAUAUACACACACACACACACACACAGAGAGAGAGAGAGAGAGAGAGAGAGAGAGAGAGAGAGAGUAAAAUCACAAGGUGUGAUGGCAUACACCUUAAAUAAAAUCCCAGCACUUAGGAGACAGAGACAGGCACAUCUGAGUUCCAGGCCAGCUCAGGCUACAUAGUGAGAUUCUGUCUCAAAUAAACAAAUAAAAUCCUUUAUGGUCAUGUGACAUAAUUUGGCCAGUGGUUGUUGUUUCUCUGAGAUACCUAUUAACAUGGCUGGCUUAGCUGGCCAGUAUCUUUGUUUGUUUGUUUGUUUGUUUGUUUGUUUGUUUGUUUUAAUUCUAUUAAGGGGGUAUAAUAUUUUUCAAGGUACUAUAAUUCCAGAGUUAUGUGUGGCAUGUGGGUCAAGCAAGCUCCUAUUCUCCCUUCCUGCUCCAAAAAUCCUCCUAAACGAUUGUCCUCAGAUAGAGAAUGCCUCAGGUAUCUGGUAAAAACAGGUACUUUAGCUGGUCUCAUCCAGAAGGCCAAGAAGCAGUGGCCGAUGUCUUCUUCAUGUCUAGUUUCUUCUCUUUUGUAGCUAGGAAAGGAGUGAAGGCGGGAGCACAGACGAGAGGCACAGACAAAACGUAGCUGAGGCUCAGAUAGAGAUCCUGUCCCUUUCGAGGCUCAUCCUAUCACCUUGGAUGCCGGCCCUCAUUAUGUGAGCAAAAUAAGCUCUCUAAUUUUUAACAGUUUUCUGAGAUCUAAUUACAUGCCACACCACUGGCCUGCUUUAGUGGCACAAGUCAGUGAUUUCAGUAAAUGUAUAGGGCUACCCAGACACCCUAGAACCCAAACUUAAGACAUUUCUUUCACCCUUAGGUAAUACUUCUGUGUGCAUGUCCUCCCAGAGUGUCACUGUCGUGUCAAUUUCCUACUGAUAUAUUUGAAGCCUAUUUUUAAUUUUGCUGAAAUCUUAUUUCCGUCUCAAAAUUCUCUCGAGUUGAUCAUGCUUUUUGAUGUUGUUUAACAAUUCUUUGUCUAACCCAAGCUUGUAAAUCUCUUGUGUGUUUUCUUCUUCAUUUUUAAAAGCCCACCUUAUGUUCUGAUUCAUUUUUAGUUCAUUUUAGAAUACUUUGGCAAUUUCUUAAAGUAAAUUUAACAAAUUUUUCACAUGGUCUCCAGUUCCUCUCCUGAAAGUUUAUCCUUUAAGUCCUGUUUAUCUUGGUUUGAUUUGGUUUGGUUUGCUUUUUGCCUUCAGCUAUCCAGUUGGCCCACACCUCUGUCAGAGCAACUGUCAGUCCUGUCCUAUUAUCUUGGUACAUUUGCCGAAAGCCAGUGCACUGUGAUUGCAAAGCUUUGCUUGCGGACUCUCAGUUCUACUGCAUUGAUUUAUAUGUCUUCCCCAUGCUGCACCACGCUAUCUUAAGUAAGGCGGCCUAAUGGUAAGUUUUAAAAUGAGAAGUGUAGGUUUCUUUCUCUCUGCCUUUCAGGGUUGUGUUUUUUUUUUGUUUUGUUUUUUUUUUUUUUUUUUUGAGCUUUCAUGCUUUCAUUUGUAUUUUAGAAUCAGUUCAUCAAUUUUUGCCCAAAAGACUUGGAAUUUUUAAGACCUUUGUUGAGUUCACAGAUCUAUUUGAUGAGAAUUUAUCUCUUAGUAAUAUUGAAUCUUCUACCUUACUUCUUCAUAAAUAGUUAUAAAUAUCAAUUUCUAUAACUAUAUUAUAUAGUACAAUAUAUACUAAUAUAUUAUAUAUCCUCUAUAAUAUUCUAUAUAUUUAUAUAGAUUAUACAAUAUAUACUACUAAUAAAAUAAUAGUAUAUAGUAUAUACUAAUAAAAUAAUAUAUAGUAUAAUAUACACUAAUAAUAUAAAUAUCUGUAAGUAUUUAGAAAUAUCUAUUUAUCACAGAUCAGCCCAGUAUUUCCCCCCUUGAAUGGGUAUGCAUUUACUAUCUAACAUUGUGAAACACUAGUUUUAGCUUUUUCCUUUUCAACAGCAUUUUGAGUUUCGUUGCUGUGAUAAACACCAUAGCAAAAGCAACCUGGGAGGAAAGCAUUUCUGUCAUCCUACAAUGAGCAGUUGGUUUGUUAUGAAGGGAAGUCAGAACAAGGGACCUGGAGGCAGGAACAGAGCAGAGGCCGUGGAGAACUACUGCGGAGUGGCUUGCUCUCUCUCCAAAGCAUCCUUAGCUUGCCCAGGAGUGGCACCACAGUGGGACAGGACCUCCCACAUCAAUCAUUCAUUAAUCAAGAAAAGAAGAAACUGCCCCACAGACCUGUCUGAUGAAAGCAUUUUCUCAGUUGAAAUUCUCUCUUUCCAGAUGACCCUAGCCAGCAUGUGUUAAGUUGAC